RNAcentral lists this ribosomal RNA (253 nucleotides) under uncultured bacterium. RNAcentral describes it as "partial 16S ribosomal RNA". It matches the Rfam family "Bacterial small subunit ribosomal RNA", at positions 524 to 776 of the family's 1533-position model. The record is from RNAcentral.
GACGUAGGAGGCGAGCGUUGUCCGGAUUCAUUGGGCGUAAAGAGCACGCAGGCGGUCGUUCAAGUCGCGUGUGAAAGCCCCCGGCUCAACUGGGGAGGGUCACGCGAUACUGAUCGACUCGAAGGCAGGAGAGGGUAGUGGAAUUCCCGGUGUAGUGGUGAAAUGCGUAGAUAUCGGGAGGAACACCAGUGGCGAAGGCGACUGCCUGGCCUGUUCUUGACGCUGAGGCGCGAAAGCUAGGGGAGCAAACGGG